CNUGCAGUCGACGAACUUCCGUUAAUUGANNAUNGACGUGCUUGCANCUGAAUGAGAUUUUAACACGAAGUGAGUGGCGGACGGGUGAGUAACACGUGGGUAACCUGCCCAGAAGCAGGGGAUAACACCUGGAAACAGAUGCUAAUACCGUAUAACAGAGAAAACCGCCUGGUUUUCUUUUAAAAGAUGGCUCUGCUAUCACUUCUGGAUGGACCCGCGGCGCAUUAGCUAGUUGGUGAGGUAACGGCUCACCAAGGCGAUGAUGCGUAGCCGACCUGAGAGGGUAAUCGGCCACAUUGGGACUGAGACACGGCCCAGACUCCUACGGGAGGCAGCAGUAGGGAAUCUUCCACAAUGGACGCAAGUCUGAUGGAGCAACGCCGCGUGAGUGAAGAAGGNUUUCGGCUCGUAAAGCUCUGUUGUUAAAGANNAACGUGGGUGAGAGUAACUGUUCACCCAGUGACGGUAUUUAAC
RNAcentral lists this ribosomal RNA (474 nucleotides) under Pediococcus pentosaceus. Its description in RNAcentral is "bacterial SSU rRNA". It matches the Rfam family "Bacterial small subunit ribosomal RNA", at positions 54 to 483 of the family's 1533-position model. The record is from RNAcentral. Lineage: Bacteria; Bacillati; Bacillota; Bacilli; Lactobacillales; Lactobacillaceae.